RNAcentral lists this ribosomal RNA (455 nucleotides) under Capnocytophaga sp. oral taxon 412. RNAcentral describes it as "bacterial SSU rRNA". It matches the Rfam family "Bacterial small subunit ribosomal RNA", at positions 28 to 482 of the family's 1533-position model. Lineage: Bacteria; Pseudomonadati; Bacteroidota; Flavobacteriia; Flavobacteriales; Flavobacteriaceae. The record is from RNAcentral.
GAUGAACGCUAGCGGCAGGCCUAACACAUGCAAGUCGAGGGGGAAGUUACUUUCGGGUAACUGAGACCGGCGUACGGGUGCGUAACGCGUAUACAAUCUGCCUUUCACUGGGGGAUAGCCCGAAGAAAUUUGGAUUAAUACCCCAUAGUAUAGUAGUGUGGCAUCACACAACUAUUAAAGCUUAGGUGGUGAGAGAUGAGUAUGCGUUCUAUUAGCUAGUUGGAGAGGUAACGGCUCCCCAAGGCGAUGAUAGAUAGGGGUUCUGAGAGGGAUGUCCCCCACACUGGUACUGAGAUACGGACCAGACUCCUACGGGAGGCAGCAGUGAGGAAUAUUGGACAAUGGUCGGAAGACUGAUCCAGCCAUGCCGCGUGCAGGAUGACGGCCUUAUGGGUUGUAAACUGCUUUUGUAAGGGAAGAAUAAGGACUACGUGUAGUUUGAUGACGGUACCUUA